GGAGACCUGCGGGAGGCAGCAGUGGGGAAUAUUGCACAAUGGGGGAAACCCUGAUGCAGCGACGCCGCGUGAGUGAAGAAGUAUUUCGGUAUGUAAAGCUCUAUCAGCAGGAACGAGACAAGACGGUACCUGACUAAGAAGCCCCGGCUAACUACGUGCCAGCAGCCGCGGUAAUACGUAGGGGGCAAGCGUUACCCGGAAUCACUGGGUGUAAAGGGAGCGUAGACGGCUGAGCAAGCCUGAAGUGAAAGGCGGUGGCCCAACCCCUGGACUGCUUUGGGCAC
RNAcentral lists this ribosomal RNA (284 nucleotides) under uncultured bacterium. RNAcentral's name for it is "partial 16S ribosomal RNA". It matches the Rfam family "Bacterial small subunit ribosomal RNA", at positions 333 to 633 of the family's 1533-position model. The record is from RNAcentral.